This 494-nucleotide ribosomal RNA is filed under the name uncultured bacterium. RNAcentral describes it as "partial 16S ribosomal RNA". It matches the Rfam family "Bacterial small subunit ribosomal RNA", at positions 30 to 523 of the family's 1533-position model. The record is from RNAcentral.
AUUGAACGCUGGCGGCAGGCCUAACACAUGCAAGUCGGGCGAACGAGGCUUCGGCCAAGUGAGCGGCGAACGGGUGAGUAACACGUAGGAAUCUGCCUGGUAGUGGGGGACAACGUCUCGAAAGGGACGCUAAUACCGCAUACGCCCUACGGGGGAAAGCAGGGGCUCUUCGGACCUUGCGCUAUCAGAUGAGCCUGCGUCGGAUUAGCUAGUUGGUAGGGUAAAGGCCUACCAAGGCGACGAUCCGUAACUGGUCUGAGAGGAUGAUCAGUCACACCGGAACUGAGACACGGUCCGGACUCCUACGGGAGGAAGCAGUGGGGAAUAUUGGACAAUGGGGGCAACCCUGAUCCAGCCAUGCCGCGUGUGUGAAGAAGGCCUUCGGGUUGUAAAGCACUUUAGGUCGGGAGGAAGGUUCGCUGGCUAAUAUCCAGCGGAAUUGACGUUACCGACAGAAUAAGCACCGGCUAACUCCGUGCCAGCAGCCGCCGUAA